RNAcentral lists this ribosomal RNA (565 nucleotides) under uncultured bacterium. Its description in RNAcentral is "partial 16S ribosomal RNA". It matches the Rfam family "Bacterial small subunit ribosomal RNA", at positions 355 to 912 of the family's 1533-position model. The record is from RNAcentral.
UGGGGAAUAUUGCACAAUGGGCGCAAGCCUGAUGCAGCCAUGCCGCGUGUGUGAAGAAGGCCUUCGGGUUGUAAGCACUUUCAGCGAGGAGGAAGGUGGUGGACUUAAUACGUUCAUCAAUUGACGUUACUCGCAGAAGAAGCACCGGCUAACUCCGUGCCAGCAGCCGCGGUAAUACGGAGGGUGCAAGCGUUAAUCGGAAUUACUGGGCGUAAAGCGCACGCAGGCGGUUUGUUAAGUCAGAUGUGAAAUCCCCGGGCUCAACCUGGGAACUGCAUUUGAAACUGGCAAGCUAGAGUCUCGUAGAGGGGGGUAGAAUUCCAGGUGUAGCGUGAAAUGCGUAGAGAUCUGGAGGAAUACCGGUGGCGAAGGCGGCCCCCUGGACGAAGACUGACGCUCAGGCUGCGAAAGCGUGGGGCAGCAAACAGGAUUAGAUACCCUGGUAGUCCACGCUGUAAACGAUGUCGAUUUGGAGGUUGUGCCCUUGAGGCGUGGCUUCCGGAGCUAACGCGUUAAAUCGACCGCCUGGGGAGUACGGCCNCAAGGUUAAAACUCAAAUGAAUUG